RNAcentral lists this ribosomal RNA (302 nucleotides) under uncultured bacterium. RNAcentral's name for it is "partial 16S ribosomal RNA". It matches the Rfam family "Bacterial small subunit ribosomal RNA", at positions 508 to 807 of the family's 1533-position model. The record is from RNAcentral.
GCAGCAGCCGCGGUAAUACGUAGGUGGCAAGCGUUGUCCGGAAUUAUUGGGCGUAAAGCGCACGUAGGCGGCUUGGUAAGUUAGAGGUGAAAGCCCAGGGCUCAACCCUGGAAUUGCCUUUAAGACUGCCGAGCUAGUAGGUGAGAGAGGUAAGUGGAAUUCCGAGUGUAGAGGUGAAAUUCGUAGAUAUUCGGAAGAACACCAGUGGCGAAGGCGGCUUACUGGCUCAUUCUAGACGCUGAGGUGCGAAAGCGUGGGGAGCAAACAGGAUUAGAUACCCCUGUAGUGCCUGUCUCUUAUAC